RNAcentral lists this transfer RNA (69 nucleotides) under Piaractus mesopotamicus (pacu). Its description in RNAcentral is "tRNA-Ser". The record is from RNAcentral. RNAcentral also lists the same sequence under 1 other name. Lineage: Eukaryota; Metazoa; Chordata; Actinopteri; Characiformes; Serrasalmidae.
GAGAGAGGCCCUGAGGCAAUAGGAACUGCUAAUUCCUACCGCCCGUGGUUAAAAUCCACGGCUCACUCG